Molecule: ribosomal RNA, 2887 nt
Filed under: Staphylococcus aureus M1044
Lineage: Bacteria; Bacillati; Bacillota; Bacilli; Caryophanales; Staphylococcaceae
Also listed under: 2 other names
Description: bacterial LSU rRNA
Rfam family: Bacterial large subunit ribosomal RNA
Source: RNAcentral
UUAAGUUAUUAAGGGCGCACGGUGGAUGCCUUGGCACUAGAAGCCGAUGAAGGACGUUACUAACGACGAUAUGCUUUGGGGAGCUGUAAGUAAGCUUUGAUCCAGAGAUUUCCGAAUGGGGAAACCCAGCAUGAGUUAUGUCAUGUUAUCGAUAUGUGAAUACAUAGCAUAUCAGAAGGCACACCCGGAGAACUGAAACAUCUUAGUACCCGGAGGAAGAGAAAGAAAAUUCGAUUCCCUUAGUAGCGGCGAGCGAAACGGGAAGAGCCCAAACCAACAAGCUUGCUUGUUGGGGUUGUAGGACACUCUAUACGGAGUUACAAAGGACGACAUUAGACGAAUCAUCUGGAAAGAUGAAUCAAAGAAGGUAAUAAUCCUGUAGUCGAAAAUGUUGUCUCUCUUGAGUGGAUCCUGAGUACGACGGAGCACGUGAAAUUCCGUCGGAAUCUGGGAGGACCAUCUCCUAAGGCUAAAUACUCUCUAGUGACCGAUAGUGAACCAGUACCGUGAGGGAAAGGUGAAAAGCACCCCGGAAGGGGAGUGAAAUAGAACCUGAAACCGUGUGCUUACAAGUAGUCAGAGCCCGUUAAUGGGUGAUGGCGUGCCUUUUGUAGAAUGAACCGGCGAGUUACGAUUUGAUGCAAGGUUAAGCAGUAAAUGUGGAGCCGUAGCGAAAGCGAGUCUGAAUAGGGCGUUUAGUAUUUGGUCGUAGACCCGAAACCAGGUGAUCUACCCUUGGUCAGGUUGAAGUUCAGGUAACACUGAAUGGAGGACCGAACCGACUUACGUUGAAAAGUGAGCGGAUGAACUGAGGGUAGCGGAGAAAUUCCAAUCGAACCUGGAGAUAGCUGGUUCUCUCCGAAAUAGCUUUAGGGCUAGCCUCAAGUGAUGAUUAUUGGAGGUAGAGCACUGUUUGGACGAGGGGCCCCUCUCGGGUUACCGAAUUCAGACAAACUCCGAAUGCCAAUUAAUUUAACUUGGGAGUCAGAACAUGGGUGAUAAGGUCCGUGUUCGAAAGGGAAACAGCCCAGACCACCAGCUAAGGUCCCAAAAUAUAUGUUAAGUGGAAAAGGAUGUGGCGUUGCCCAGACAACUAGGAUGUUGGCUUAGAAGCAGCCAUCAUUUAAAGAGUGCGUAAUAGCUCACUAGUCGAGUGACACUGCGCCGAAAAUGUACCGGGGCUAAACAUAUUACCGAAGCUGUGGAUUGUCCUUUGGACAAUGGUAGGAGAGCGUUCUAAGGGCGUUGAAGCAUGAUCGUAAGGACAUGUGGAGCGCUUAGAAGUGAGAAUGCCGGUGUGAGUAGCGAAAGACGGGUGAGAAUCCCGUCCACCGAUUGACUAAGGUUUCCAGAGGAAGGCUCGUCCGCUCUGGGUUAGUCGGGUCCUAAGCUGAGGCCGACAGGCGUAGGCGAUGGAUAACAGGUUGAUAUUCCUGUACCACCUAUAAUCGUUUUAAUCGAUGGGGGGACGCAGUAGGAUAGGCGAAGCGUGCGAUUGGAUUGCACGUCUAAGCAGUAAGGCUGAGUAUUAGGCAAAUCCGGUACUCGUUAAGGCUGAGCUGUGAUGGGGAGAAGACAUUGUGUCUUCGAGUCGUUGAUUUCACACUGCCGAGAAAAGCCUCUAGAUAGAAAAUAGGUGCCCGUACCGCAAACCGACACAGGUAGUCAAGAUGAGAAUUCUAAGGUGAGCGAGCGAACUCUCGUUAAGGAACUCGGCAAAAUGACCCCGUAACUUCGGGAGAAGGGGUGCUCUUUAGGGUUAACGCCCAGAAGAGCCGCAGUGAAUAGGCCCAAGCGACUGUUUAUCAAAAACACAGGUCUCUGCUAAACCGUAAGGUGAUGUAUAGGGGCUGACGCCUGCCCGGUGCUGGAAGGUUAAGAGGAGUGGUUAGCUUCUGCGAAGCUACGAAUCGAAGCCCCAGUAAACGGCGGCCGUAACUAUAACGGUCCUAAGGUAGCGAAAUUCCUUGUCGGGUAAGUUCCGACCCGCACGAAAGGCGUAACGAUUUGGGCACUGUCUCAACGAGAGACUCGGUGAAAUCAUAGUACCUGUGAAGAUGCAGGUUACCCGCGACAGGACGGAAAGACCCCGUGGAGCUUUACUGUAGCCUGAUAUUGAAAUUCGGCACAGCUUGUACAGGAUAGGUAGGAGCCUUUGAAACGUGAGCGCUAGCUUACGUGGAGGCGCUGGUGGGAUACUACCCUAGCUGUGUUGGCUUUCUAACCCGCACCACUUAUCGUGGUGGGAGACAGUGUCAGGCGGGCAGUUUGACUGGGGCGGUCGCCUCCUAAAAGGUAACGGAGGCGCUCAAAGGUUCCCUCAGAAUGGUUGGAAAUCAUUCAUAGAGUGUAAAGGCAUAAGGGAGCUUGACUGCGAGACCUACAAGUCGAGCAGGGUCGAAAGACGGACUUAGUGAUCCGGUGGUUCCGCAUGGAAGGGCCAUCGCUCAACGGAUAAAAGCUACCCCGGGGAUAACAGGCUUAUCUCCCCCAAGAGUUCACAUCGACGGGGAGGUUUGGCACCUCGAUGUCGGCUCAUCGCAUCCUGGGGCUGUAGUCGGUCCCAAGGGUUGGGCUGUUCGCCCAUUAAAGCGGUACGCGAGCUGGGUUCAGAACGUCGUGAGACAGUUCGGUCCCUAUCCGUCGUGGGCGUAGGAAAUUUGAGAGGAGCUGUCCUUAGUACGAGAGGACCGGGAUGGACAUACCUCUGGUGUACCAGUUGUCGUGCCAACGGCAUAGCUGGGUAGCUAUGUGUGGACGGGAUAAGUGCUGAAAGCAUCUAAGCAUGAAGCCCCCCCUCAAGAUGAGAUUUCCCAACUUCGGUUAUAAGAUCCCUCAAAGAUGAUGAGGUUAAUAGGUUCGAGGUGGAAGCAUGGUGACAUGUGGA